RNAcentral lists this ribosomal RNA (549 nucleotides) under uncultured Glomus. RNAcentral describes it as "SSU rRNA". It matches the Rfam family "Eukaryotic small subunit ribosomal RNA", at positions 548 to 1098 of the family's 1831-position model. The record is from RNAcentral. Lineage: Eukaryota; Fungi; Glomeromycota; Glomeromycetes; Glomerales; Glomeraceae.
UUGGAGGGCAAGUCUGGUGCCAGCAGCCGCGGUAAUUCCAGCUCCAAUAGCGUAUAUUAAAGUUGUUGCAGUUAAAAAGCUCGUAGUUGAAUUUCGGGAUCAAUAUAUCGGUCGUGCCAUCGGUACGUACUGGUAUCAUUGGUUUCUCCUUUCUGACGAACCAUGAUGUCAUUAAUUUGGUGUCAUGGGAAGCUAGGACUGUUACUUUGAAAAAAUUAGAGUGUUUAAAGCAGGCUUUAGCUUGAAUACAUUAGCAUGGAAUAAUGAAAUAGGACGUUCGAUCCUAUUUUGUUGGUUUCUAGGAUUGACGUAAUGAUUAAUAGGGAUAGUUGGGGGCAUUAGUAUUCAAUUGUCAGAGGUGAAAUUCUUGGAUUUAUUGAAGACUAACUACUGCGAAAGCAUUUGCCAAGGAUGUUUUCAUUAAUCAAGAACGAAAGUUAGGGGAUCGAAGACGAUCAGAUACCGUCGUAGUCUUAACCAUAAACUAUGCCGACUAGGGAUCGGAUGAUGUUAAUUUUUUAAUGACUCAUUCGGCGCCUUACGGGAAAC